UAACACGUGGGGAACCUGCCCCAUAGUCUGGGAUACCACUUGGAAACAGGUGCUAAUACCGGAUAAGAAAGCGGAUCGCAUGAUCAGCUUUUAAAAGGCGGCGUAAGCUGUCGCUAUGGGAUGGCCCCGCGGUGCAUUAGCUAGUUGGUAAGGUAAAGGCUUACCAAGGCGAUGAUGCAUAGCCGAGUUGAGAGACUGAUCGGCCACAUUGGGACUGAGACACGGCCCAAACUCCGUACGGGAGGCAGCAGUU
RNAcentral lists this ribosomal RNA (253 nucleotides) under uncultured Lactobacillus sp. Its description in RNAcentral is "partial 16S ribosomal RNA". It matches the Rfam family "Bacterial small subunit ribosomal RNA", at positions 111 to 355 of the family's 1533-position model. Lineage: Bacteria; Bacillati; Bacillota; Bacilli; Lactobacillales; Lactobacillaceae. The record is from RNAcentral.